Molecule: ribosomal RNA, 253 nt
Filed under: uncultured bacterium
Lineage: Bacteria
Description: partial 16S ribosomal RNA
Rfam family: Bacterial small subunit ribosomal RNA
Source: RNAcentral
UACGGAAGGUCCGGGCGUUAUCCGGAUUUAUUGGGUUUAAAGGGAGCGUAGGCCGCCUGGUAAGCGUGUUGUGAAAUGUCGUUGCUCAACAACGUCACUGCAGCGCGAACUGCCGGGCUUGAGUGUGCGGAAAGCGGGCGGAAUUUGUGGUGUAGCGGUGAAAUGCUUAGAUAUCACGAAGAACUCCGAUUGCGAAGGCAGCUCGCUGUAGCAUUACUGACGCUGAAGCUCGAAGGUGCGGGUAUCGAACAGG